GCCCACAUAGCUCAGUCGGUAGAGCGCGUUCUUGGUAAGAACGAGGUCUCCGGUUCAACUCCGGAUGUGGGCU
Molecule: transfer RNA, 73 nt
Filed under: SAR202 cluster bacterium
Lineage: Bacteria; Bacillati; Chloroflexota; Dehalococcoidia
Description: tRNA-Thr
Rfam family: tRNA
About the family: Transfer RNA (tRNA) molecules are approximately 80 nucleotides in length. Their secondary structure includes four short double-helical elements and three loops (D, anti-codon, and T loops). Further hydrogen bonds mediate the characteristic L-shaped molecular structure. tRNAs have two regions of fundamental functional importance: the anti-codon, which is responsible for specific mRNA codon recognition, and the 3' end, to which the tRNAs corresponding amino acid is attached (by aminoacyl-tRNA synthetases). tRNAs cope with the degeneracy of the genetic code in two manners: having more than one tRNA (with a specific anti-codon) for a particular amino acid; and 'wobble' base-pairing, i.e. permitting non-standard base-pairing at the 3rd anti-codon position.
Source: RNAcentral